AUUGGCUACUGAUACAGGAAGUCUACAUUUCCCGAGCUUUCUCUUUCAGGCAUCACCAACAUACCGUCGAAAUAUUGUCGCGUAGAGAAUAGAUUGAUAGGAUGACGUCUUUAUAUAUUUUCAUGACAUGAUUUAUGUGCCAUAGCCUACAUGCAUCGAUAAGAACUAUACAUCAUACGUUCAUGUACGCAUAAAAUGUAAACGCGUUAGUCACACCAUGCCAUAAGAAUUACACUGUAAAAACAUGUCCAGAGAUUCUCCCAAUGUAAACAUUCCACUGAAGUUUACAUAGCUCCUUUCUCGAUUGCUCUUCCUGGCUACUUCAUCAUGUGGCUGUCUCCUUGUUCGCAGGGAAUUGCCAAUGUCCGAGCCUUGAGUUGAUGCUGAGCCCGGCGACAAUCACCGAGGUCUCUCAUAUCUUCUACCACGGGUUCGCUUUCGUCCCGGUGCCCACCUCGGCCGCCGUGACAUUGCACCUGGCGUUGGGCUCGCAGGUGAUUCCGGGAACACUUCCACGUGUCGCCUUCAUCAAUGGGGCGGGCACCUGUCACCUUGUCCGUCCAGAAUGUGGACUGUCAGUAUAGAAUUGUAUGCGUGUCCUACGUGUGUCCUACCUGGGUCAGUUCACCUCCGAGGCAGGGAUUGAACUGCAGUCAGAUGCACAUCCACAACCCCUUCUGCUGGAGAAUGACAUGUCAUCCCUACAGGCCAGUGUGGAGCUCCCCUUCUCCCCUCCCUCCUCAGGGCCUGAGGGUGCCCCUGCCCUCUGUCUGCUACUGGAGGAGGACCAGGAACCACUGGAGUCUCACACACAGAUUGAGCCAAAGAAACGUAAAGGUGGGUGACCAAAGGGAAAGAAGAGGCAACCUCAGAGAGAGUUAACUUCCCCCAGAGUUCCAACAACAGGAGGAGUUUGGGAAGGACAGAGGCAGCCGGCAGCAAGCUCCAGGGAUGGAGAGAAGCCCUGUGGAGGAGGCAGAGGAGGCUCGUACGUUGGGUCUGUCCUCGCUGGACAUCAGUGUGCUGCAGGAGCUGCUGCUCGGACACAUACUGACCAGCACUGACCGCUAAUUGCCAUGACCACAUGUAUGACUUGGACAAAGCACAUUUCUAAAUAGGCUGAAGCUGCGGAUCCAUAGCUAACCUCCCCAUCCCGCUUGCCUGGAUCCGUUUUCCCCAGAGCUGAAGAGCCGAAUUACGUUCUGCACAUGUUUCCUUACCUAMAUUUAGAUCUUCUUGAGUUAUACAGUGUUCUUUUGAAUUAUGGACAGUGAGCGAAUUUUAGAGCAGUUGGUGGAAACAAUUUGUCGCAUAGUCUACCUGUGUUAAGUUUCAAUCACAGCACAUAUUUUGCCUAGUGGCGCGGGCUAUUGAGGUUUUGCCAAAAAUGUGACCAUUUGCACAAACAUCCUAAAGUUUCAUAAGAAAUUUGAUUGUUUUCUGUCUCACACUAACCYUAUACUAUGCUAUUAUAUUUGGUUAUGUUAUAUAGAAUCAAUAAGUGGUCUUGCAGACAUUGCUUCAGCUUUGAUAUAACUUUAUUAAACAAAUACCAUUUAUGUCAGACUAGCCUGAUCUCUACGAGACUGUGCAACAAGUAGAGGAUCCCGCACAUGCACAGAAGUCGUGAAGAUGGCUCGACAAAACCUAUUCCCCCUCAGGAGACUGAAAAGAUUUGGCAUGGGUCCUCAGAUCCUCAACAGGUU
Molecule: long non-coding RNA, 1706 nt
Organism: Salvelinus sp. IW2-2015
Lineage: Eukaryota; Metazoa; Chordata; Actinopteri; Salmoniformes; Salmonidae
Source: RefSeq, a predicted model, not a curated record